GGGUUGUGAGGUUAAGCGACUAAGCGUACACGGUGGAUGCCCUGGCAGUCAGAGGCGAUGAAGGGCGUGCUAAUCUGCGAUAAGCGCCGGUAAGGUGAUAUGAACCGUUAUAACCGGCGAUACCCGAAUGGGGAAACCCAGUGUGACUCGUCACACUAUCAUUAACUGAAUCCAUAGGUUAAUGAGGCGAACCGGGGGAACUGAAACAUCUAAGUACCCCGAGGAAAAGAAAUCAACCGAGAUUCCCCCAGUAGCGGCGAGCGAACGGGGAGGAGCCCAGAGCCUGAAUCAGCAUGUGUGUUAGUGGAAGCGUCUGGAAAGGCGCGCGAUACAGGGUGACAGCCCCGUACACAAAAGCGCAUGUGCUGUGAGCUCGAUGAGUAGGGCGGGACACGUGGUAUCCUGUCUGAAUAUGGGGGGACCAUCCUCCAAGGCUAAAUACUCCUGACUGACCGAUAGUGAACCAGUACCGUGAGGGAAAGGCGAAAAGAACCCCGGCGAGGGGAGUGAAAAAGAACCUGAAACCGUGUACGUACAAGCAGUGGGAGCCCCACCACUAAGCCAGUGGUGAACUCCACAUACGCAUCCUUUGCUGAAGGCAAUGGUUAACGGAGCGAAAGCGACGUUCAACCGCAAAACAAGCAGAGGGGGCUUAGUGGUGGGGUGACUGCGUACCUUUUGUAUAAUGGGUCAGCGACUUAUAUUCUGUAGCAAGGUUAACCGAAUAGGGGAGCCG
RNAcentral lists this ribosomal RNA (736 nucleotides) under Salmonella enterica. Its description in RNAcentral is "partial 23S ribosomal RNA". It matches the Rfam family "Bacterial large subunit ribosomal RNA", at positions 1 to 668 of the family's 2925-position model. Lineage: Bacteria; Pseudomonadati; Pseudomonadota; Gammaproteobacteria; Enterobacterales; Enterobacteriaceae. The record is from RNAcentral.